GGCCCGGCGGCGGCUGCGGCUGCGGUACCGGCCGCGGGCGGGCGGGGAGGGGGCGCGGGCCGGGCCCGAGUCUCUUUCUUUAAAGUGUUGAGUGCGGGCGAGCGGCGAUUGCGAAACUCUCCGCGCGCUGCUCCCGCCCCCUCUUCGCCCGCCCGCCAAUGGGCGGCGACGCUCCCGCAGGGGCAUGAUGCAAUGCCCGCCCGGAUUGGCAGCGGGCGCGGCCAAUCAGGCGUCCGUCAACACGCUUAAAGGGCGAGGCCGUGUUUUCUGYGGGAGGCCGCGCGCCCCGCGGGGGUGGGCAUGGCGGUGGCGGCCCGGCCCCGCGGGGAAGGCCCUGGCACUCCUCCCCGUCUCACCCCACCCCGGGGCGGGGGAGAAGCCGCGUGCCGCGGCGGGGCCGCGAGGCUGCCGAGAGCCGGGGGAGGCGGCGGGUGGGAGCGGGGCGCGGGCCGCUGGGAGGCCUCCGCUCCCCUCGGGCUGGCGGGCGGCAGCGAGAUGCCGCUGUCCCGGGCCCGGGCGGAGGCGGCGGCGCGGCCGCUGGGCCGCGGUGGCUCCUCCAGGAAGGCGCCGGCGGGAGCCGAGCCCCGGUGUCCCGUUUUCUUUUUCAGAAGCUUCACCCACGCACCCAAAAGGGGCUGUAAAUAGGGAGUUGAAACUUACGUUUUCUCUGAUGGUGACUCAUCCAUCUGUAACUAGAGCAAAAAUUCCAGAAAAGAAAGGAAGUGCUUAUUGCAGCAGUGCCGUCCUCCUCCCAGAAAGUUGA
This 763-nucleotide long non-coding RNA is filed under the name Dromaius novaehollandiae (emu). RNAcentral's name for it is "lncRNA (ENSDNVG00000011234.1)". The record is from RNAcentral. Lineage: Eukaryota; Metazoa; Chordata; Aves; Casuariiformes; Dromaiidae.